AUGGAUCACGGCGGAGGAGGUCGUGGGAUGGCAGGGUACGAGGCGGCUGCGGCGGCGGCUUCCACCAACCAGAAGACCGAAAGCUUCGGAGGCUGUUCCAGCUCCAACAGCGUGAAGAAAAUUUACCCCAUUGACAGUCCAAUUAAGAAAAGAAAGUUACAGUAUGACCUCAGUGACACAAGGCUGUUAUCGCUGAAAUACAAGUUUCAGGACCGACGAACUUCACAGGAGGAUGAGACUGCAAGAACAGAAAGCUUAGGAGGUGAUGACAUUUUCAUCAACAAGAACUGUAAUGUGGACAUGGCCAAUGUUUACAAGGAAUUGGACUCGUGUGAGAAUACUCAAAGCCUUUUAGGUGGUUGCAUCGAAGUUGACUCCAUAAAUGCCAGGUAA
This 393-nucleotide ribosomal RNA is filed under the name Triticum aestivum (bread wheat). RNAcentral's name for it is "partial small subunit ribosomal RNA". The record is from RNAcentral. Lineage: Eukaryota; Viridiplantae; Streptophyta; Magnoliopsida; Poales; Poaceae.